RNAcentral lists this ribosomal RNA (441 nucleotides) under uncultured bacterium. Its description in RNAcentral is "partial 16S ribosomal RNA". It matches the Rfam family "Bacterial small subunit ribosomal RNA", at positions 338 to 795 of the family's 1533-position model. The record is from RNAcentral.
CCUACGGGUGGCAGCAGUGGGGCAUAUUGGGCAAUGUGCGCAAGCCUGACCCAGCAACGCCGCGUGAGCGAUGAAGGUCUUCGGAUUGUAAAGCUCUGUCGCAGGGGACGAAGUAUGACGGUACCCUGUAAGAAAGCCCCGGCAAACUACGUGCCAGCAGCCGCGGUAAUCAGUAGGGAGCUAGCGUUGUCCGGAAUUACUGGGCUUAAAGGGCGUGUAGACGGCUUGUCAAGUUAAGUGUGAAAGCCUGCGGCUUAACCGUAGAAUUGCACUUAAAACUGACUCGCUAGAGUGCAGGAGAGGUGAGUGGAAUUGCUAGUGUAGCGGUGGAAUGCGUAGAUAUUAGGAGGAACACCAGAGGCGAAGGCAGCUCACUGGACUGUAACUGACGUUGAGGCUCGAAAGCGUGGGGAGCAAACAGGAUUAGAUACCCCUGUAGUC